UUUCCGUAGGUGAACCUGCGGAAGGAUCAUAACAGAGUUCAUGCCCUCACGGGUGGAUCUCCCACCCUUGAAUAUUUAUACCUUAGUUGCUUUGGCAGGCCGUGGAAACACCAUGGGCUCCGGCUUAUGCGUGCCUGCCAGAGGAAACAAACUCUGUUUUUAGUGAUGCCUGAGUACUAUAUAAUAGUUAAAACUUUCAACAACGGAUCUCUUGGUUCUG
RNAcentral lists this unclassified non-coding RNA (220 nucleotides) under plant metagenome. RNAcentral's name for it is "partial contains small subunit ribosomal RNA, internal transcribed spacer 1, and 5.8S ribosomal RNA". The record is from RNAcentral.